This 253-nucleotide ribosomal RNA is filed under the name uncultured bacterium. RNAcentral describes it as "partial 16S ribosomal RNA". It matches the Rfam family "Bacterial small subunit ribosomal RNA", at positions 524 to 776 of the family's 1533-position model. The record is from RNAcentral.
UACGUAGGGUGCGAGCGUUGUCCGGAAUUAUUGGGCGUAAAGAGCUUGUAGGCGGUUUGUCGCGUCUGCUGUGAAAAUCCGGGGCUCAACCCCGGACUUGCAGUGGGUACGGGCAGACUAGAGUGUGGUAGGGGAGACUGGUAUUCCUGGUGGAGCGGUGAAAUGCGCAGAUAUCAGGAGGAACACCGAUGGCGAAGGCAGGUCUCUGGGCCACUACUGACGCUGAGAAGCGAAAGCAUGGGGAGCGAACAGG